This 3315-nucleotide long non-coding RNA is filed under the name Macaca mulatta (Rhesus monkey). RNAcentral describes it as "lncRNA (ENSMMUG00000064730.1)". The record is from RNAcentral. Lineage: Eukaryota; Metazoa; Chordata; Mammalia; Primates; Cercopithecidae.
AUGUGUCUGGUAAACCAAAAGAUAUUGCUGAAAUCCGUGGCGACAGUUCAGGAACCAUCUUGUGUGCUUGCAUUUAUUGGAAGUAUAAUGGAUAUAUUUGGCAUUAAACUCAGGACAGAAGAAGACACAAACUUUAUCUUGUGGUUUGGGUCCUCCAAUGCUCGUAAAAGUGUGGUUUCACCUGUUACCUCAUAAAGGUGCCAUUGCUGUAUGCACAUCUGAAUCUAUUUACAAUUUGAGAAUACAGGUGAGAAAGAAUGAUUUUCUAUUUUGUGACAUUCGUAUGGUCAAAAUUUUUAUGAAAUCUCGCCACGAAAUUUCUCCUUUCUGAAAAUAUAAAAUGAGGAACUUUUUUAAAAGAGUAAAAAAUGAUUUAACUAAUUAUACUUGUGUGCUCCAAAACAAAUCUGCACUCAAUUGUUUGUAAUUGGCUUAGCAGACUGAUUCAAGGGCAGUAAAUUUUAAUAGAUUUCGGUAAUAUUCAGCUAUUUCUACAUUAAUGAAGGGAACUAUAUUAUUUAAAAACACCCCAGAGUAUAAAAGCAUUUAUAGAAGCAUUCAGUAAAAUGUUGCAUUGUAAAUGACCUAAAAUUGUUUUCAUAUGUUAUCAUUUAUUUAUCCCCAGGCAGAUUGUAAGCAACUCAAAGGAGCUGUUUUUAAUCCCCUUUUAUUGCAUAAUAUCAUAGUCCAUGUACAGUGUUCGCUAAAUAAGUGUUGCUAACUGAUCUGGGACUUGAACCUUUUUUAUUUGUUAUUCAAAAGUUGUUUUACAUUUUGGGUGGAAGAAAAAGAGUCUUUAAGACUUACAAUAUUUCUGUUAGAUAACCAGUUUUAAUACAUUCUGAAGAAUUCAAAUGUUGUGGGUAAGUGGACUCAUGUGCUCUAUAUUCCAAGCAUUCAGCAAUGCUCUUCGGCUGUGUCCUAUUUGAUUUCAUUAACCAUUCAGUUAAUAAAGUCAAUAUUCAUCAGCCUGUGGUAGACAACUCUUUUUGUAAAUCCACUUGCUCCUUAUAUAUGACCCUUUGAGGCUUUCCAAACAGCAUCUUCAAUUUUGUCUGUCAUGGCACUUGUUUAGAACUAGAAAAAUCUUUGGUAUAAGCUUGGGAGAGGACUUCUUUCAUGAACAGCAAAGUGAAAUAUCUAUUUCUAAACCUUGAGAAACACACUUUACAAUAGGGUAGCCAUUAGCCACUUGAAAUGUGGUUGACCUGAAAUGAGGUAUGCUAUACAUGUGAAAGACAAUGGAUUUUGAAGAAUUAGUACCAAAAUAAUUAGAAUAUAAAAUACCUGAAUAAUUUUAAAAAUACUGAUUCCAUGUUGAAAUUAUAAUAUUUUGGAUAUAUUAGUUUAAAUAAAAUGUUAUUAAUUUAAUUUCCCAUUUCUUUUUUCUAUAUUUCACAAUAAAACAGUUAGAAAUUUUAAAAAGACAUAUGUGGCCCACAUUAAAUUUUUACUGGAUAGUACUGUUUUUAGAGCAGGGUCCCUCAAUCUCAGCAGUAUUGACGUUCUGGGUCAGAUAACUAUCUGUCAAUGGGUUGUUCUGUGCAUUGUAGGAUGUUUAGCAGCAUCUCUGGCCUCUACUGGCUACAUGCCAGUAAAUCUCAUCCUCCUCAGCUGUGACAACCAAAAAUAUCUCUAGACAAUUUCCAAAUGUCCUGUGGUGUGUAACAUUGUUUCUGGUUGAGAACCAUCCUUGAGAGUGUAAAGUAGUGCUUGUAGAGACAUUCACUAGAAUGUUGCUUUGAUGUGUCCUAAGGUCUUUUUUAUGGGUUUCAGGUUGUUUUACCCAAUAGAUUACAUGCAGUUUAUGGAACGUAUGUUAAGUUCAUUUUGCUGCAUAAUAUAUAGUGUUCUAUGCACAGUAAAAAGUAAAUAAUUACUCUUUACCUCUUCCACUUUUUCAUUCCCAAUUUUCACCCACUCCCAACUCAUCUAGGCAGUUAGUUCACAAGGCAGAACGGGCUAUCUGUCACACAUAGUCUUUUAAAAUUUUGGCAUUUAGCAAUCACUGUCAACAGUGUUGUUUUUCUGUACACAAGCAGUGCUGUGAGUCAAUUAAUCAUACAAGACUUAUUGCAGGGACAAACUCGUAUAACUGUCAGUGUAUUAACUGUCUGGGGAAGUGUUGAAGAACAGCCGGGACCCCUCCCCUGCAAGAGCCCAAAGACACUAUAAUAGAAGCACACUAAUUUUAGAAGAAAUUAUAUUUGUUUUGGCCACAGCUGUUGGCAUUCCAACGGGCUCGCAUUCUGUCUGUUGAAAUGAGGAGGUUCUUUUAGAGGUUUGGUUCUGUCUGAGGAUUUGGUGACAUCAUUUAGAGAAUCACUAGGCUGUCAGCAAAUACAUUUUAUGUAUAGUGAAUAACUAUUUAAAACUGGUUUAUAAGAAUUAAGAAUAGGAAUUCUAAAAGCUAAGCGGGAGUUAGUUCUUAGAGGAAAAUGCCUCAUUUAUGAGAGCACCUUCCAAAAUUGAAGUGGAGAGAUUGAUUUUCUGGAGAAUUUCCAGUGUCAUUGGCCACCAGUAUAAAGGAAUAUGCUGAGCGCCACAGCAUGUUUGCUGGCCCCAUGGAUAUAUUUCCAACCUUCUCUUUUCCUCCUCAAAUUUCAAACAUUUGAAUAACUUGCUAACGAUUUGUAUAGUUAGUUACAAUGGUGGCACUGUCUAUUGAAUACCACUGUUGUGAUAUAGGACACACUAUUGUGACUUAAGAAAGCCCCUCCAUCUGCUGCCACAAACUUUGUAGAUUUUGCAUAGCUCUUUGCAGGGGCCCUAAGGACUUCUGUCUCAUAUUGGACAGCAGGUCAAUUUUUAUCUCACAUUCUGGUUUACCUCUAGGUAUGUUUAGCAGCUACUCUAAUGGAGCUGUGAUCAUUGCCUAUUUGUUGAUCGUCAUUAAAUCUAUGGGUAAUCGUGGUUGAACUCAGUUCCAUGUAGCCCAUGUUUAAAAUAGCAAUUUUCCUAAAAAGCUAGAUUGCUUGGCUUACUAGACCUUUCUUCUAAAAUACAUGCUAGUUCCCUUUUUCUUAAUAUGCAAACUGAGUUUCUUCAAUAUUCAUUUCCAGGUCUUUAAGUGUAGCUAUUUAACUACUGAUCUGUGGUGUAUACUUGGUCAUCUUGUGUAUAAAAGUGUUUAGGGGCAACUCUACCCAGAAUAUAAUCAUUUUUCUCUUGGAAUUUAGAAGUUUGAGAGUUUCAAACUUGGGUCACACCUAGCAGUUGCGCUUUAGAUUAUGAUCUUAAACAAUUAGUGUAUUUGUUUCUGUCAAAAGAUUAUAAGUGCAGUAAGGAAAGGAAGCAUGUAUUUGAGGAAACCAG